Long non-coding RNA from Carassius auratus (goldfish), 2273 nucleotides. RefSeq lists it as uncharacterized. The record is from RefSeq and is a predicted model, not a curated record. The transcript is spliced from 4 exons. Lineage: Eukaryota; Metazoa; Chordata; Actinopteri; Cypriniformes; Cyprinidae.
UAUGUAUGUAUAAAGAUAUAAAGACCUCUAACACUACCUCUAACACUUCUUUUUAUUUAUUAUAUCAUUUAAAAACCUAUGCUACGUAGCUAUACUUUGUUAACCUAACUGAGUUAUAGCACUUAUCAUUGCUCUUUUGUUGUUUUUGAUUGCUUCCACUGUCCUCGUUUGUAAGUCGCUUUGGAUAAAAGCGUCUGCUAAAUGAAUAAUGUAAAUGUAAAUAUAAUCACAUUUCGCUUGAAUCAAGUUAAAGGUGUAAUCUGCUGAUUGUCCUGCAGGUGACCGCAUAAAUCUGUUUUCUUAAAUACACUUAGGGCUUAACCAUUACUCCAGAGCACCCAUAGAUCGAUGAUUUUCAAGUGCUACUUAAGUUACGAUGCUUUUGGGAAACAGACCGUGAUAUUAAGAUCAGUAGUAUGAUCGUUUUUAUGAACUUCUUAGGCUUACGAAGCUUUUGGGAAACUCAGCCCAGUUUUUUUUCAACAUUCAUUCAAAUAGUAAUGUUUAUUUCGUGCUGCAAAUAUUGAAGAGGAAAAUAUAAUUGAUUCAUAUGCAGUUACCAAAUUAUCUCACUAAAUUAAGCAUAAAAAGCGUAAAAAAGACGUUUAUUGUUGGUACGUAGUUUUUUGCAUAUAUGUCCGGAACUGACCACCUGAACUGACUCGCUAAGACAGACUGCCUGUGAUCAUAAGGCUUCAGUAAACAUCAACACAAAAGUAGGCUACUAUAUAGUACCGACUUAUUUUAAUAGACAUAAUACUUGAAAAUGAAAAUGUGUCAAAACAGUUUAAAAAAAUUUCAAAUAGGCAUAUAUAAACGUAUUAAUUAAUUAUCAAUAUAUAGGCUAUUAAUUUGAACAUGUAGAGUAGCCUACAAGAAACUGCUCUUGUAAUAAGCCGCUUUAUGACAUGAACUGAACUGUAAAAUAAUAGACAUCUGCUGAUCAUACAAUUAUCUAGUUUUCAGAAAUAAGGUCUAAUGUAAAGUGAUCGUUUUUUUCUUUAGAGACGUGUAAGUUCAUAUGUGCUCAGAUUAAAAUUAGCCUAUAUUACUAUUGUAUUAUUUUAUUUAAGAUGUAACUGUGAAUAUAUUUGGACACUCCAUGUUAGUCACUGAUUAGACUUACAUGAUUUAAAAUUGAUUUUCAGGUGAUAUUGCUUGAAAAGUGAUUCAUAAUGAGCGCAAAAAAAAAACUAUGUCAUGCAGUUUAUUUUAUUAUCAAAGCCUAGACCCUAUGUGAUGACAUAACCUGAGACUAAAAGCUGUGAUAUACAUUUUGUCCACUAGAGAGAGCCAAAUUAUAUGGAUUAGGCCUUUUUGAAAGUGAAAGUCCUGACAUUUACCAAGUAACCCAUCCUCGGAACUGCUGCUCUGCAUUUAACCCAUCCAAGUGCACACACACAGCAGUGAGAAGUGAACACACACCCGGAGCAGUGGGCAGCUACAGAUCCAGCGCUGGGGAGCAACUGGGGCUUCAGUGCCAGGGUAUUGAGUUCAGUCCAUGGGUAUUGAGGGUGGAAGAGAGUGCUGUUCAUUCACUCACUCCCACCUACAACUCCUGCCAGCACAGAGACUUGAACCUGAUACCUUCUUGUAAGUAGUCCAAGUCUCUAACCAUUAGGCCACAAACUUGUGCAAACUUCCACGUCAAAAUCAAAUUCUCCAGUCAAAAACCCUUACAUCUAUCAUUAUCAAACUUUGGCCUCAGAUGACAAAACCUACAGUACAAAUACACACACUACAAUUGUUUAGCUUCCUUAAAUAUAAUAAGUUAUCUUUACUUAGUUGUUAUACUUACUAGGUUUUAUUAAGUUACACAAUUUGCUAAUUUUAAGGCGAAUAGAACAACAUGCUGCAAUGAGUAAUUCUUUCUUAAAAUAUUCAAGUAGCUACAACAAAACCGAUGACAUUAAUUCACCAGUGAGAGGCAGCAGUGCGCUAAUGUGCAACAGGAACAAAACAACAGAAGAAGAAAUAAGGACGGUGAGCAUGCACAGCAAGCAAAGUUUUGAAGCUGCAUUGAAUUUGCUUAAACUAAGUAGAAAGACUGUUUACAUUUCACCUCUGGACAAAGAAUGAUUGAUUACUUCUACACAAUAAUAAUAAGGAAAAAAGCUUGUGUCAGCUGUCUUCUCUGAGCAGCGGUCUUGUGAUCACCGGUCUCAGUAUAAUAAAGAGGACACUUCACAUCCUAGAACCCAUAAAAUAAAAGAUUUGACAGAACUACACACCCAUCUGAGGCCUACCUGUUUUAAUUCAUGAUCACCCCGGAU